CCGAAACCCAAACACCUCCCAUCUGACACAACAAGGGACACCAUCACAAGGGUCCACUACUACCCAGUCAAAGAUCGCAUCAUGCAAGCAGCCAGAAGGGCAGGCCGCUGGCCGGAACCCUAUACUGACAUUAAACUUUUCAUAGACCUCUCAUCAACAACCAUGCUUGCACAAUGCACGUUUGCACCCAUCACUGCAGCAUUACGAGCAGCAAACAUACCCUACAAAUGG
Pelobates cultripes (western spadefoot toad) is the source of this 231-nucleotide non-coding RNA. NCBI's taxonomy places the organism in Eukaryota, Metazoa, Chordata, Amphibia, Anura, Pelobatidae. The record is from the annotation of a GenBank genome assembly.